Molecule: ribosomal RNA, 466 nt
Filed under: uncultured bacterium
Lineage: Bacteria
Description: partial 16S ribosomal RNA
Rfam family: Bacterial small subunit ribosomal RNA
Source: RNAcentral
GACGAACGCUGGCGGCGCGCCUAACACAUGCAAGUCGAACGAGCGAGAGAGAGCUUGCUUUCUCGAGCGAGUGGCGAACGGGUGAGUAACGCGUGAGGAACCUGCCUCAAAGAGGGGGACAACAGCUGGAAACGACUGCUAAUACCGCAUAAGCCCACGGCCCGGCAUCGAGCAGGGGGAAAAGGAGCAAUCCGCUUUGAGAUGGCCUCGCGUCCGAUUAGCUAGUUGGUGGGGUAACGGCCCACCAAGGCGACGAUCGGUAGCCGGACUGAGAGGUUGAACGGCCACAUUGGGACUGAGACACGGCCCAGACUCCUACGGGAGGCAGCAGUGGGGAAUAUUGCACAAUGGGGGAAACCCUGACGCAGCGACGCCGCGUGGAGGAAGAAGGUCUUCGGAUUGUAAACUCCUGUUGUUGGGGAAGAUAAUGACGGUACCCAACAAGGAAGUGACGGCUAACUACGUG